UUGAACGCUGGCGGCAGGCCUAACACAUGCAAGUCGAGCGGUAGAGAGGUGCUUGCACCUCUUGAGAGCGGCGGACGGGUGAGUAAUGCCUAGGAAUCUGCCUAGUGGUGGGGGAUAACGUUCGGAAACGGACGCUAAUACCGCAUACGUCCUACGGGAGAAAGCGGGGGAUCUUCGGACCUCGCGCCAUUAGAUGAGCCUAGGUCGGAUUAGCUAGUUGGUGAGGUAAUGGCUCACCAAGGCGACGAUCCGUAACUGGUCUGAGAGGAUGAUCAGUCACACUGGAACUGAGACACGGUCCAGACUCCUACGGGAGGCAGCAGUGGGGAAUAUUGGACAAUGGGCGAAAGCCUGAUCCAGCCAUGCCGCGUGUGUGAAGAAGGUCUUCGGAUUGUAAAGCACUUUAAGUUGGGAGGAAGGGCAUUAACCUAAUACGUUGGUGUCUUGACGUUACCGACAGAAUAAGCACCGGCUAACUUCGU
RNAcentral lists this ribosomal RNA (482 nucleotides) under uncultured bacterium. Its description in RNAcentral is "bacterial SSU rRNA". It matches the Rfam family "Bacterial small subunit ribosomal RNA", at positions 30 to 506 of the family's 1533-position model. The record is from RNAcentral.